AACAGUGGGCUUUUUCAGUUCAGACCAAUGAAGAUCUCCAUGCAGUUAUUGAACAUCAGUCAGUGUCUUUUCCUAUGGUUACAUGGAUCUUAACUUUGGGACUUUAACAGAAGCAGGCGCCAGCAAAGUGAAAAAGAGUAAUUUGAGAAGAGAACGCACGUUUGUCCAUAUUGCAAAGAAAUGCAAGUACUGGCAGUGCAUCAGAUGGAGAGAUUGAAAAGUUAAUCAAAGAUGGCUGCUGCUCACUUUGGACAGAGAUGGGGGAAGAAAAGAGUGGGCCCGAAUGCAAACAAAUUCUUCCAAAGGGUACACUUACUUGAGGAAGCUCCUGGAGUUUUUUUUUUCUUUUUUUCAAAUAAAUUCUAAUAUCACUCA
Sinocyclocheilus grahami is the source of this 375-nucleotide long non-coding RNA. RefSeq lists it as uncharacterized. The transcript has 3 exons. The record is from RefSeq and is a predicted model, not a curated record. NCBI's taxonomy places the organism in Eukaryota, Metazoa, Chordata, Actinopteri, Cypriniformes, Cyprinidae.